GCCAAUUGUUUUCUAUAGAUUUUUCAACAAGUAGAACUCUGGUGCAUACAGGUGUUGGAAUGAAAGCUUUGCAAGGUAACUAGACUAGCAAACUGGGAAUUAUGGUAUGCUCUUGGCCAUCAGGGCUUUCAGUACAUGCACCCUAAUCUGCGAAAAAGAUUUUCCAGCUCUGCUGAAGAGCAAGUGUAACGGAGCUUGCAGCAGGAGGACCUCUGGAAGAUUGAAGUGUUGAGGAGAAAGCUGACCUGCUACCUUCAUGAAAAUAUAAUUUAAUCAUUUCCUGUUGUCUGAAAUAGCACGCUCGCAAGAAAUCAGAAUGACUGAUGUUGGCAGGGACUUCUGGAGGUCACUGGAUCCCUCUAUUCAAGCAAGGGCAUUUAGAGGAG
Long non-coding RNA from Tympanuchus pallidicinctus (lesser prairie-chicken), 386 nucleotides. RefSeq lists it as uncharacterized. NCBI's taxonomy places the organism in Eukaryota, Metazoa, Chordata, Aves, Galliformes, Phasianidae. The transcript is spliced from 3 exons. The record is from RefSeq and is a predicted model, not a curated record.